RNAcentral lists this transfer RNA (71 nucleotides) under Phrynosoma platyrhinos (Desert horned lizard). Its description in RNAcentral is "tRNA-OTHER". The record is from RNAcentral. Lineage: Eukaryota; Metazoa; Chordata; Lepidosauria; Squamata; Phrynosomatidae.
GCCAGCAUGGUGUAGUGGUUUGAACACUGGACUAUGACCCUGGAGACAAGGGUUCAAAUCCCACCUUGGCC